UGGGCCUAUAAUCAAAAAUCUAAAUACAGGUUUAGAUUCAGCAUAUCAAAGAACCCCAAGGAUUCAAUUUUUGUUGAUAUCAAACAAAGUUUAAUUUUGGACCAACUUGAAAACUGGGCCCAUAAUAAAAAUUAUAAGUACAUGUUUAGAUUCAGCAUAUCAAAGAACCCCAAGGAUUCAAUUUUUGUUGAAAUCAAACAAAGUUUAAUAUUGGAC
This 216-nucleotide long non-coding RNA is filed under the name Mytilus galloprovincialis (Mediterranean mussel). The record is from RNAcentral. Lineage: Eukaryota; Metazoa; Mollusca; Bivalvia; Mytilida; Mytilidae.